UGGGGAAUAUUGCACAAUGGGGGAAACCCUGAUGCAGCGACGCCGCGUGGAGGAAGAAGGUCUUCGGAUUGUAAACUCCUGUUGUUGAGGAAGAUAAUGACGGUACUCAACAAGGAAGUGACGGCUAACUACGUGCCAGCAGCCGCGGUAAAACGUAGGUCACAAGCGUUGUCCGGAAUUACUGGGUGUAAAGGGAGCGCAGGCGGGAAGACAAGUUGGAAGUGAAAUCUAUGGGCUCAACCCAUAAACUGCUUUCAAAACUGUUUUCUUGAGUAGUGCAGAGGUAGGCGGAAUUCCCGGUGUAGCGGUGGAAUGCGUAGAUAUCGGGAGAACACCAGUGGCGAAGGCGGCCUACUGGGCA
RNAcentral lists this ribosomal RNA (361 nucleotides) under uncultured bacterium. Its description in RNAcentral is "bacterial SSU rRNA". It matches the Rfam family "Bacterial small subunit ribosomal RNA", at positions 355 to 735 of the family's 1533-position model. The record is from RNAcentral.